CAUGAAACCCUAGUUCUCCCUCUUAUAAAUAGGGACUAAUUCUAGGCCCUAUGGUGAUAUGAAAAAUCAAAAAAAAAAAUUAGAGGAAAAUAUUUUGAAAAAUUGGAGUCUUCUUCCUCCUCUUCCUCUCCGUUCUUCCUAGUCCUCAAGAUUGUCUUUUGAGAUCUGUGAGAGAACAACCUUAGCCAUCGAAGAGGAGUCUUUUGCAAGAGAGCUAGCACCCUAGUGAAGAUACCUAUCUUUGGCUGGAACGAGCCUCGUGUGGAUACCUGUGGAGGUCGAGCGCAUGCAUGACUA
RNAcentral lists this long non-coding RNA (297 nucleotides) under Elaeis guineensis (African oil palm). RNAcentral describes it as "long non-coding RNA (EGUI_LNC064257)". Lineage: Eukaryota; Viridiplantae; Streptophyta; Magnoliopsida; Arecales; Arecaceae. The record is from RNAcentral.